AAUUUUAAAAAUUGCAGUCUCAGGCAUAAAUAUACUAACAAAAGGAUAAAGAAGCCUCCAAAAACCCAGAUAGGAGACUGAAAUUCCUCUUUGAAUCCUGUCCGAAGUCACAGCU
Heterocephalus glaber (naked mole-rat) is the source of this 115-nucleotide small nucleolar RNA. NCBI's taxonomy places the organism in Eukaryota, Metazoa, Chordata, Mammalia, Rodentia, Bathyergidae. The record is from Ensembl.